MicroRNA precursor from Gallus gallus (chicken), 60 nucleotides. The record is from Ensembl. NCBI's taxonomy places the organism in Eukaryota, Metazoa, Chordata, Aves, Galliformes, Phasianidae.
CAACGGAAUCCCAAAAGCAGCUGUCCCCGCAGCGCCCAGCUGCCCUGGGAUUUCGUUACC